ACGGGUGAGUAACACGUGAGCAACCUGCCCUUCACUUGGGGAUAACUAUCGGAAACGGUGGCUAAUACCCGAUAUGACACAUCGCCGCAUGGUGGGUGUGUGGAAAGUUUUUCGGUGGGGGAUGGGCUCGCGGCCUAUCAGCUUGUUGGUGGGGUAAUGGCCUACCAAGGCGACGACGGGUAGCCGGCCUGAGAGGGCGACCGGCCACACUGGGACUGAGACACGGCCCAGACUCCUACGGGAGGCAGCAGUGGGGAAUAUUGCGCAAUGGGCGAAAGCCUGACGCAGCGACGCCGCGUGAGGGAUGACGGCCUUCGGGUUGUAAACCUCUUUCAGCAGGGACGAAGCGCAAGUGACGGUACCUGCAGAAGAAGCACCGGCCAACUACGUGCCAGCAGCCGCGGUAAGACGUAGGGUGCAAGCGUUGUCCGGAUUUAUUGGGCGUAAAGAGCUCGUAGGCGGCUCGUCGCGUCGACCGUGAAAACCUACCGCUUAACGGUGGGCUUGCGGUCGAUACGGGCGGGCUAGAGUUCGGUAGGGGAGACUGGAAUUCCUGGUGUAGCGGUGAAAUGCGCAGA
RNAcentral lists this ribosomal RNA (578 nucleotides) under uncultured bacterium. Its description in RNAcentral is "bacterial SSU rRNA". It matches the Rfam family "Bacterial small subunit ribosomal RNA", at positions 102 to 694 of the family's 1533-position model. The record is from RNAcentral.